GACGAACGCUGGCGGCGUGCUUAACACAUGCAAGUCGAACGGAAAGGCCCUGCUUUUGUGGGGUGCUCGAGUGGCGAACGGGUGAGUAACACGUGAGUAACCUGCCCUUGACUUUGGGAUAACAUCAGGAAACUGGGGCUAAUACCGGAUAGGAGCUCCUGCUGCAUGGUGGGGGUUGGAAAGUUUCGGCGGUUGGGGAUGGACUCGCGGCUUAUCAGCGUGUUGGGGAGGUAGUGGCUUACCAAGGCUUUGACGGGUAGCCGGCCUGAGAGGUUGACCGGCCACAUUGGGACUGAGAGACGGCCCAGACUCCUACGGGAGGCAGCAGUGGGGAAUAUUGCACAAUGGGCGGAAGCCUGAUGCAGCAACGCCGCGUGCGGAAUGACGGCCUUCGGGUGGUAAACCGCUGUCGCCGGUGACGAAGCGUGAGUGACGGUAAUGGGUAAAGAAGCACCGGCUAACUACGUG
This 468-nucleotide ribosomal RNA is filed under the name uncultured bacterium. Its description in RNAcentral is "partial 16S ribosomal RNA". It matches the Rfam family "Bacterial small subunit ribosomal RNA", at positions 28 to 507 of the family's 1533-position model. The record is from RNAcentral.